RNAcentral lists this ribosomal RNA (300 nucleotides) under uncultured Neomoorella sp. RNAcentral describes it as "uncultured Moorella sp. partial 16S ribosomal RNA". The stretch from base 52 to 300 matches the Rfam family "Bacterial small subunit ribosomal RNA", at positions 547 to 795 of the family's 1533-position model. Lineage: Bacteria; Bacillati; Bacillota; Clostridia; Neomoorellales; Neomoorellaceae. The record is from RNAcentral.
GGGAACUAGGUGGCGGCAGCGGGGGGAAGGGGGGGGGGGGAAGGGUUGGCCGGAUGUGAUGGGCGGAAAGGGCGGGUGGGGGGCCGGGAAGGGCAGCUGUGAAAACUCGAGGCGCAACCUCGAGACGUCGGUUGAAACCACCUGGCUAGAGUCCGGAAGAGGAGUGUGGAAUUCCCGGUGUAGCGGUGAAAUGCGCAGAUAUCGGGAAGAACACCCGUGGCGAAGGCGGCACUCUGGGACGGUACUGACGCUGAGACGCGAAAGCGUGGGGAGCGAACAGGAUUAGAUACCCUAUUAGUC